GUGCCAGCCGCCGCGGUAAUACCGGCAGCUCGAGUGAUGGCCACUCUUAUUGGGCCUAAAGCGUCCGUAGCUGGCCGCGCAAGUCCGUCGGGAAAUCCAUCAGCCCAACUGAUGGGCGUCCGGCGGAAACUGCACGGCUUGGGACCGGAAGGCUCGAGAGGUACGUCCGGGGUAGGAGUGAAAUCCUGUAAUCCUGGACGGACCGCCGAUGGCGAAAGCACGUCGGGAAGACGGAUCCGACGGUGAGGGACGAAAGCCAGGGUCUCCAACCGGAUUAGAAACCCCUGUAGUCC
RNAcentral lists this ribosomal RNA (293 nucleotides) under uncultured bacterium. Its description in RNAcentral is "partial 16S ribosomal RNA". It matches the Rfam family "Archaeal small subunit ribosomal RNA", at positions 455 to 747 of the family's 1478-position model. The record is from RNAcentral.